This 319-nucleotide long non-coding RNA is filed under the name Ananas comosus (pineapple). RNAcentral describes it as "long non-coding RNA (ACOM_LNC000344)". The record is from RNAcentral. Lineage: Eukaryota; Viridiplantae; Streptophyta; Magnoliopsida; Poales; Bromeliaceae.
UUUUUAUUUCAAAAUCAUCUUAUAUCAUAUUUAAGAUGUGCGAAACGAUAUUAAUAAAAGAAGAUUGAGCCUUGUAAUAUUUCUUCAUGGUAUCAGAAUAAGAGAUUCUGAAUUCGAAUCAUGCUAUACUUUUAUUAUUAUUAAUUUUCUCUCAUUUAAUUUAAGUCAACGUCAAAGCUUUGCAAAAAAUCUCAAGUCCAAACUUAAGGGAAAGUGUUAAAUAUAAAAAUAUAUAAACACCGUUCUCUAACAGCUUAAACUUUUAGAGUACAAUGGUUAUUUUACAGAUCUGAACAAAAUGCCAAUUGUUGUGGUAUGU